GUUCGGUGGAAUGAUGAAGAUGACCAGGGAUGUCCUCAAUCUCCUUGAAUCACGCACGCAGACUCUGAAACGAGGACCAAGAAGGAAGAUCUACGUACGUUGAGAUGAUAUUUUGGGCCUUCUUAUUCGCCUUGGAUUAGUUACGCCAACUUCAGCCUUUCCCACCGAUGAGGAUCCAGAGGAUGUGGCUCACCCGUUUUUAACGUGCAGUCCUGUACCUUGUACUCAACGAUGUCGGUACCUACUUUGGAAACCAAAUCGAGUAUGAGGUAAGGUGAGUAUCACGUGAUCGGCAGGUGGAAUGGCUCACGAUGCCUGAUCGUCUACUGGACUGGCAGAGGCGAGACCAGCAAGAAGACAAGAAGCCCUUGACUGAACGGCAUGCUGCACCUGCUCGUGCCAGCUAUUCCCUGAUUCCGAUUCUUCACAGAACCAAUGCGUGGCGAAAAGCACCUGAUUUCCAUCGUUUUACUUUAGCUGGAGAAUUUGUGGAAAGGAUGGAUCGUUCUUUGUUGUUUAGAAAUGAUACUUCUGGUUGUAGAAUAAACCAGAAGGGAUCGUAGAUAACGGUAUUUAUAUUAACGGCCUUACGUAAGAAUUUACGAGCAGCUACUGGCAUAAUUCUACAAAAUUAGAAGUGGCGAACGAAACUGACGUCGAUACUUCAAAUUUCUGUCGUUGUCAGAAGUCUAGGAAAAUUUCAGUUUUAAUUGUUCAAAAAUAACAUGUAUAAAAUUAACGCGAAUGGUCUUGCUUUAUCAAAAGUUAACAUAAUAUCGGGUUUUAAAUGGAACCGAGUACUGAUAAAUAAAUAAUUUUCGUAAUAUGACCCAAGCGACUCUGAUGGCACCAGAAGAAAUUAGGAUUGCGGGAGAAGGACGAAAAAUAAAUUCAGAAAAAAACAGUAUAAAAAUAGAUUUAUAUAUAUAUAUUUAGGAAAUUUGCUGUUUGCGAAUUAUAGCUACUUGAAAUUGGCCAAUCUGGUGGUAUGUGAUGUUUCAGAAGAGGGCUGCUGGUUGCCAUGGACUCGGCAUCUGUCCUUAGCGAUCAUACUAAUACUCAUGCGAUAGCAGCCCUCGCUUAAUUUGCGGCUCAUACCUCAAUCACCCACUUUUCGCACUUGUAGCACAAUAUACUAUAUCAUGACCACCUCGCCUUAGAACAAGGUGUCGACAAAUUUUGAAAUGAAAUAUUUAAUGUAAUAUGCAAGUGGUGGUCUGUUGUGAGUUGUACUUCAACGAGUAGUGAUUCAAUGUGUCCGAGUU
Molecule: long non-coding RNA, 1265 nt
Filed under: Neodiprion pinetum (white pine sawfly)
Lineage: Eukaryota; Metazoa; Arthropoda; Insecta; Hymenoptera; Diprionidae
Description: uncharacterized LOC124214797
Source: RNAcentral